GAUGAACGCUGGCGGCGUGCCUAAUACAUGCAAGUCGAGCGAACGGACGAGAAGCUUGCCUCUCUGAUGUUAGCGGCGGACGGGUGAGUAACACGUGGAUAACCUACCUAUAAGACUGGUAUAACUUCGGGAAACCGGAGCUAAUACCGGAUAAUAUUUUGAACCGCAUGGUUCAAAAGUGAAAGACGGCCUUGCUGUCACUUAUAGAUGGAUCCGCGCUGCAUUAGCUAGUUGGUAAGGUAACGGCUUACCAAGGCAACGAUGCAUAGCCGACCUGAGAGGGUGAUCGGCCACACUGGAACUGAGACACGGUCCAGACUCCUACGGGAGGCAGCAGUAGGGAAUCUUCCGCAAUGGGCGAAAGCCUGACGGAGCAACGCCGCGUGAGUGAUGAAGGUCUUCGGAUCGUAAAACUCUGUUAUUAGGGAAGAACAUAUGUGUAAGUAACUGUGCACAUCUUGACGGUACCUAAUCAGAAAGCCACGGCUAACUACGUG
This 497-nucleotide ribosomal RNA is filed under the name uncultured bacterium. Its description in RNAcentral is "partial 16S ribosomal RNA". It matches the Rfam family "Bacterial small subunit ribosomal RNA", at positions 28 to 507 of the family's 1533-position model. The record is from RNAcentral.